RNAcentral lists this transfer RNA (75 nucleotides) under Flavobacteriales bacterium. RNAcentral describes it as "tRNA-Ala". It matches the Rfam family "tRNA". From Rfam's summary of the family: Transfer RNA (tRNA) molecules are approximately 80 nucleotides in length. The record is from RNAcentral. Lineage: Bacteria; Pseudomonadati; Bacteroidota; Flavobacteriia; Flavobacteriales.
GGGGGAUUAGCUCAGUUGGCUAGAGCGCUUGCUUUGCACGCAAGAGGUCAUCGGUUCGACUCCGAUAUUCUCCAC